This 301-nucleotide ribosomal RNA is filed under the name uncultured bacterium. RNAcentral's name for it is "partial 16S ribosomal RNA". It matches the Rfam family "Bacterial small subunit ribosomal RNA", at positions 509 to 807 of the family's 1533-position model. The record is from RNAcentral.
CAGCCGCCGCGGUAAUACGGAGGGGGCUAGCGUUGUUCGGAAUUACUGGGCGUAAAGCGUACGUAGGCGGUUUUGUAAGUUAGAGGUGAAAGCCCGGAGCUCAACUCCGGAAUUGCCUUUAAGACUGCAUCACUUGAAUCGUGGAGAGGUGAGUGGAAUUCCGAGUGUAGAGGUGAAAUUCGUAGAUAUUCGGAAGAACACCAGUGGCGAAGGCGGCUCACUGGACACGUAUUGACGCAGAGGUACGAAAGCGUGGGGAGCAAACAGGAUUAGAUACCCGUGUAGUCCCUGUCUCUUAUAC